Ipomoea triloba (trilobed morning glory) is the source of this 688-nucleotide long non-coding RNA. RefSeq lists it as uncharacterized. NCBI's taxonomy places the organism in Eukaryota, Viridiplantae, Streptophyta, Magnoliopsida, Solanales, Convolvulaceae. The record is from RefSeq and is a predicted model, not a curated record. The transcript has 3 exons.
UCAUGAUCAUCCAUUCUCUCUCUCUCUUCCCCUACAAGUCACACCAUUUUCAUCUUCCCUUACCUAAAUAUUCAUCUUCUCUUCACCUUCUAGAUUCAAGCCAAGAUUCAUUCUUUAUGUUACAUCAAGUUGGCUUAUGAUGAUCAAAGCAUGGAGGAUGUGUUAGGGUGAGCUUUGAGGAUGUUGUGGUUUGGAUAGCUAGCUUCAAGAGGCAAUAAAUUGUGCGUUGAAAUUGAAAGAACCGUUGGGCUACAACAGUAUAAAAAGAAUGCAAUAAUAGAGGAGAGAUCAUCAAUUAACUCUGGAUCAACUCCGGAGACGACGGCAGAUGAACUUGGGCGAAUUAAUCUAGCGACGGGGAUCUUCUCAGUUCGUGGUCAGCAAUCAUUCAGCGCAGCAAGCAAAUUCUCAACGACUUUAGCGAAUUCUGUGGUUCAGCGGCAAUCCUGGUUCAAUUUGCUUAGCUUCUCAUAAUUCAUUUCAAUUCGUUUAAUGGAAUUGUAAUGUUGAUUUUGAGGAUUUCCGUACUGCCUUUUUGCUAAUGAUUAGUUUUUACUGCCAAUCCUCAAUGAUGUUGCUUAAAUUAAUUAAUACUGGUCUAUUUAUGAUUUGCUAAAUAUUGUACCCUAGGAAUAUGAUACAAUUUACUAUUAAUACUUUACAUUGAUAUAAGUUUUAAUGUUGCCAA